Molecule: long non-coding RNA, 1156 nt
Organism: Argiope bruennichi
Lineage: Eukaryota; Metazoa; Arthropoda; Arachnida; Araneae; Araneidae
Exons: 3
Source: RefSeq, a predicted model, not a curated record
UAAUCCAAUGCAAUAUAUUAGUUGCACUAAUUUCACGACUACAGCUGAAAAAUGCAUAGUAGCUUCAAAAUUUGAUAUAUUCCUCAAAAACAAUUGUAGAUUACACAUUGAUAAUUGCAGGUUUUAAACUACGCAUACAUCUUGACAAUACAUCACAAGUUGACUACCACCCAGGGACACGGAUAAAUCUGAAUAACCGAGUUACCGUAACUACGUUGGCUGGAAUUAAGAUUGAGACCUAAGAGCCUUAACUGGAAACGGCACAACCCUUCCCGGGAGAAAAGCGUCCCGUCAUCGGUAGGAGGUAGCCGACCCCCACCAUUUGUGUAUCCACGUGGGUGGCGAGAACCAACCACCAUGCUGGAAGCGUCUCAUCUUCAUAUCUCAAGUGCCCUCUGGCUGAACCACUUGCAUACUGUGCGAUACCCCAACCUAGCCAGACGCCAUGCGGGAAACUUGAUGGGACCGCCUAAGAGCACAAAGGAAUAAACUACACUUGAGGACAUUGGACACUGGCAAACAAUUAAAAAUCCUUUAGAGAAAAACGCAUAUUGGUGCAGAAAAAGAAUAGAGAAAAAGCAUUAAACUUUACAUUGCAUAUUAAGUUGUAAAACAUUCAAAAUGCAUAAAAAACGUAAAAUAAGUGUUUAACUUUUUACAUUAGGAGAGUUUGCAUGAUUUGCAUUUUAACAAAACCUAUUUUAGGCCUAUUUUCUGGAGUUCUCCCAAUUCUUCUCGAUAGUUUAGUUUUCCAUGAAUACGUAAUAUAUUUCGUGAUGGGCAGCAUUAACUUUUUUAUGGUUAUGAUCUAAAUUAUUCUUUUGGAUUACUCUUCAGAUAUUUUGUUUCUUAUAAUAUCAUAUUAGUUUCAUAAUGGUUUUAAUUUAAUUUGCUCAACUCAUGAAAAGGACUAAGGUGGUAGGGAAAGAAUCAUCCAAAUUCGAUUGUGGGUAAGGUCUGGGGGUAAGGUCUCGACUCUUGAGCCAUAGGAUUUCAGGUUCGAGACCCGAUUCCACCGAAGAACCGUUGUGUAAGGGGGUCUGUUGCACGUUAAAUUCGUCAAGGCUAAACGUCCUCCCGCUGGUGUGCCGUGCCGUGGUGUGCAGGGGGGGGGUGCCAGCUCAGGUGUCGUCCUCGUCAUCUGACCGCGGUUCAA